This is a long non-coding RNA of Humulus lupulus (European hop), 416 nucleotides long. RefSeq lists it as uncharacterized. The record is from RefSeq and is a predicted model, not a curated record. NCBI's taxonomy places the organism in Eukaryota, Viridiplantae, Streptophyta, Magnoliopsida, Rosales, Cannabaceae. The transcript is spliced from 3 exons.
GUUCCUUCCCUAAGACAACUGCAAGUAAGUUGCAUAGAGUUUGCUUGUAAAUUGUAAUGUUCUUUUGGGCUAUAGUUCUCAAUAAACACUUGAUAUGCAAGAUCACAUAUGGAAAAUUGGGUUCUAAAGCAAUUAGUUGGUGGGUAUUUUAUUUGAUGAUGUUGCAGAAGCACUUGAAAGAUGGCAUGCUUUGGGAUUUAAGGUGUACAUAUACUCAAGUGGUAAUAGAGAAACACAACAGCUAUUGUUUGCGAAUUCCAAUUAUGGAGACUUGAGAAAGUACUUGUGUGGAUAUUUUGAUACUUCAGUUGGAAACAAGAAAGAAGUACGUGAAGAAUGGGCAUCCCAGAGUGUAGAAGUGGCGGGAAGAACUCUUACACAAAUGAUGAUAUCAAUGAAGUACGUGAAGAAUGGGC